This 405-nucleotide ribosomal RNA is filed under the name uncultured bacterium. RNAcentral's name for it is "bacterial SSU rRNA". It matches the Rfam family "Bacterial small subunit ribosomal RNA", at positions 355 to 774 of the family's 1533-position model. The record is from RNAcentral.
UGGGGAAUAUUGGACAAUGGAGGUAACUCUGAUCCAGCAAUUCUGUGUGCACGACGAAGGUCUUCGGAUUGUAAAGUGCUUUAAGUUGGGAAGAAAAAAAUGACGGUACCAACAGAAUAAGCGACGGCUAAAUACGUGCCAGCAGCCGCGGUAAUACGUAUGUCGCAAGCGUUAUCCGGAAUUAUUGGGCAUAAAGGGCAUCUAGGCGGGGCUCCAAGUCGACGGUGAAAACUAGUGGCUCAACCAUUAGCUUGCCGACGAAACUGGAGUUCUAGAGUAUCGGAAAGGUGGGCGGAACUACAUGAGUAGAGGUGAAAUUCGUAGAUAUAUGUAGGAAUGCCGAUGACGAAGGUAGCUCACUGGACGAAAACUGACGCUGAAGUGCGAAAGCUAGGGGAGCAAACA